Molecule: long non-coding RNA, 1901 nt
Filed under: Homo sapiens (human)
Lineage: Eukaryota; Metazoa; Chordata; Mammalia; Primates; Hominidae
Description: HSALNT0027327
Source: RNAcentral
CUGUGACGUUUCGUCACCAUGAAAGCCAGAUGAGCAGACCGAGGACCAGAGAAGCCCCGGCAGCUGCUCCAGCUGGUGAUGGAGUGUUUGGGGCCGAGAUUCACACUCCGUGCAGGACACCACGGUCUACUUGUGCUCGUGUCUCUGAAUGUGAGAGAGGGAGAGACAUCCCAGGGCAGCGGGACCAGGGCAAGAGGGAGCAGAGGGAGUUCCAGCUUCCCUGGCACCAGCGUUUCCCAGCCGCCCUGCAUCUUGGCUUCACGGAAGGAGCCCUUCUGCGAGGCCCACCUCUUCUCCCUCCCUGCAAAUGCCGUGGGUCAAGGCCAGCUCGGUCUUGUUUCAAGAAGUAAAGCAAUAAUGCUCCUCCGAAGCUGACUGGGGGGAGCAGCAGCAGUGCAGCAGGUGGAGCUGCGAAAGGGGAGCUCUCGGGGUCCUAGACAAGCACCCCGAGUCUGGGGUCUCCAGGUGAGCCCCUGCAAGGCCAGCCUUGGACUAGUGGCACGUGGGGCGAGUUUUAUUCUUCCUUCACAAGCGGUCACCAGGGCUGGCAAAAUGUUGCACCACAAGGCUGCUGGCCAGCUAGGUGUCCUCCACUCACCAGACUCUCGGAAUUUGCGAGGUCCUCCGUUGCUAAUAACAAUAGGCCUGAUUUGUUGAGAGCCCGCCUGUGCCAGCCUGCGCCUCACACAAUUAUUAUCUGCGUUUUGCGCCAGUGAAAGCUGUGGCUGUGAGAAGUCAGAGUCGCAUGGAGAAUACGUGGAGCUGUGGGAUUUGAACCUUGGACAGUGCCAGGGCAGUGCCCUGGCCCUCUGCCCUGCAGGAGCCCCUCGGCUGCCAGUAGCCUGAGAUGCCUGCUGCCGGGCACCAUGGCCUGCCACUGACAGUUCCGGAUGGAGAACUGACUUGAGUUUGUGUCUCUACAGAUCCAGAGACGCGACCUGUCCAAGCUUUCCACUGGAGAGAGGAACGCUGAGGCUGGGUCCGUGCUGGGGCUGGGUCCGUGCUGAGGCUCACAGUCAAACGGUACCACCUGCAUCGGUGCUUUCCACACCUGAUCUCUCUUGAGCCUCAUGACAACUAUUAUCCACUUGAAGAGGGGGAAACUGAGGCUUAGAAAGCUCAAGCACCCUGCCAAAAGCCAUGGGGGGAGCGAGAACUCCCAUACAGGACUUCCGGCUCCCCGUCCCGCCUCCUCCCACCAUGCCCCAGAACUAGCACCCCCUGAGCACUUGCUUGAGCCACGGUGAGAUCCAGAACCCGGCCGGAGCCAGGCUUCGGCCAAGCCGCGGCCACGCUGCCAUCUGACAAGCCCGGGGCCUGUCCCAACAAGACUGAGGCCCGUGUGGAGACAACUGCACAGUCGUGACCGGUUGUCCUGACAGACCUGCUAGCACCUCCCGAGGCUGGGAGGGCGCUAAGGGGAGCUGGCCUGCCUGCCCGCCUGCUGCGGGCGGCACCUCCGGCGCCUGAGCUCCCAGUUUGGCCGCUAAAGCUAAAUUUUAGCUCCAAGUAAAAAUGUGUCUGAGUAUAAAGCUUUGAAGAUACGGUUUCUUAAUGAAAACGCUGAGUGAAGCCAAUUAGACUGGCAUGGGCAGUAAUCACUAUAAUAAGGGUAAUUGAGUUGGAUUUAUUAUAGCUGACGAUGGCUCUUUUCCCCUUAAGUCGAGAAAGAAAAUAAUUUACUGAUAUUAAAACAUGAUUGAAGUUUUCCUUCAAACCCUUGGGAAAUGGCUCGGUUUCUGGGACUUCAUCUCAAACGUGAGGCUGGUGAAUAACAAGACAAUGGCCACCUUUUUUUUUUUUUUUUUUUUUGAGACGGAGUCUUGCUCUGUCGCCCAGGCUGGAGUGCAGUGGCACAAUCUCAGCUCACUGCAACCUCCGCUUCCCAGGUUCAACCAAUU